GGCAGCGAUUACUCACCCCGUACUGGAGGAAUUAUUCUUCAACGAGUCGGACGGGAAGGAUUUACUCCAGACACCCGGCAAAGCCCUCAUCCCCGUCAGUGGCCGGAGGAAAAGUCGGCGGUAUCGUGGACAACAGUCCGGGUGCCUUGUCAGUGGGGUUUGUAAACCAACCCGGAUGUAAUAUAAUUCUGGCCACAUGUUGACACAGUGGCGCUUUUCCAUGUAGAGGGACGUACACUCUGUAAACAGGAAUGACAAGCUAAAGUUAUCUAGUUAGACACAGAAAUGUACGUUCAGCCUGUUCAUUAUUUCAGUCCGAGUUGACUUAUCUUACGAAGUCAGCAUGGUUUAACAUAGUUCCUUUCGUUGUUGACCUCGACAUUGUUGCUGGAUGGAUACUUUCAUAGCUAACAUGCUGGCGCUGCUAGCUAGCUAAUGCUAACGGCGCUAGCUAACCUCAUAUCUGGAUGCCUUGCUCUAGUUCCCGAGAGAGCAGCAUACUGAUCUGCCUGACAGCCUCACCCAGAAGACACUGGGCCUAUCCAGACUGACCAAGCAGAGAUGGGUGGCUGACAGCCUCACCCAGAAGACACUGGGCCUAUCCAGACUGACCAAGCAGAGAUGGGUGGCUGACAGCCUCACCCAGAAGACACUGGGCCUAUCCAGACUGACCAAGCAGAGAUGGGUGGCUGACAGGGAUAUAAAACACAACACACAUUAUCCACAAUGUAAAUACGUUGUAAUUACUUGUUUAUUUAAUGUUUGCUGCAUUUUAUUUGAGGAUUGGAGAUAUCUACUCCUUCAUAUCCAUUCUCAAUAUCUACAUAAUUACUCUCCAUAUCUAUCAAAGGGUGAUUGAUAAUAUUGUAAAAGACGACGGCUUAAUGUUUACAGUUUGAGGAAAUUAUGCGUGCUUUUUAUCUAAGUUGACAACGUGUUGGUUCCACUUUUCUAGGCUGCGUUAUUUACUUAACAAAUAAGAAACACUUAAAAUGUGAAUGUAUAAAAUUAAGAUAUUAUAAUUAGAAGACAGCCGUAGACAGAAGUCAAAGAUCAACAUACAACUGAUGUCUCUCCUGAGUUCUGAACAAAAGAAAGACAGCAUCUUAUAUAGAUCACCCCUCAUGGUGUCAAACCCUGCAUGUGCAGCUAAAAUAACAAGUUAUUCUCAACACAAGGUUUCUGAGAAUCUGUCUCAGCAGUAUGUAAAUCUGCCCUUGUUUCAGAGAAAAACAGACGCUGUCUCUCUGUGUCUCUCUGUCACCCUCAGUCCCUUUUCUCACCUCUUCUCACAGACGCUGUCUCUCUGUGUCUCUCUGUCACCCUCAGUCCCUUUUCUCACCUCUUCUCACAGACGCUGUCUCUCUGUGUCUCUCUGUCACCCUCAGUCCCUUUUCUCACCUCUUCUCACAGACGCUGUCUCUCUGUGUCUCUAUCACCCUCAGUCCCUUUUCUCACCUCUUCUCACAGACGCUGUCUCUCUGUGUCUCUGUCACCCUCAGUCCCUUUUCUCACCUCUUCUCACAGACGCUGUCUCUCUGUGUCUCUCUGUCACCCUCAGUCCCUUUUCUCACCUCUUCUCACAGACGCUGUCUCUCUGUGUCUCUCUGUCACCCUCAGUCCCUUUUCUCACCUCUUCUCACAGACGCGGGGCUGCGGGUUUUGGCAGAGAGCUACACACAGAGAGGCCUCCAUAUUCAGCUAUACAGUGAGCAUAAGUACAAUGGCACGUAAGCAAAUGAAUAACAUAAUCAAUGGUGGGGGUCUUUAGAAGAUCCCCAAAAUCAACUUUAACCCUUCACAUGCCUCCCUCUCUCACACACACACAUUAGACCCAAUGUAAAUAAAUUGUAAUAACUGGUUUCUUUUACGCUCCAUUUUAUUUGAGGAAAACAUCUGCAAUAAAGUACAUUGACAGUUAAAA
Long non-coding RNA from Salvelinus namaycush (lake trout), 1924 nucleotides. RefSeq lists it as uncharacterized. The transcript has 2 exons. NCBI's taxonomy places the organism in Eukaryota, Metazoa, Chordata, Actinopteri, Salmoniformes, Salmonidae. The record is from RefSeq and is a predicted model, not a curated record.